GUUUCUUCCAAAGGCAAGGCUCUGAAUGAACGGGCGAUAUUGAUCCUUCUUAGAAAUUCCUAAGGCUCAAUGUUGUGUGGAAGAUUCUGAGAAAGAAAAUAGUUUCCGAUCUUUGGGAUUCCCCUGAGAUGGUCCAAUCUGCAAAAAGUUCAUUGCCAUUUCCAUCAAGGACACUGAGAACAAGAGUCUUAUCCGCAUUGAAUCCUGGGAAUUGAGAAGCUUCAGCAGGGCUUCCGCUGGAACUAGGAUGAGGAUGUGGACACCCCCAACCUGGACCAUCUGGCCGAGGAGGGCGUCAAGGCCAAGUACCUCAUGCCACCCCUUGUCACAAUGACCUCCCCGUCCCACUUCACUGCCAUCACAGAAUCCCAGUGGCCACUAAAACAGAGGGAUUCCAACCUAAAAAGGAGGAAAAGGAGGCUGCUGAAAAGCAAAGGACUCUGUGUAAGAAUCAUAAUAGCGGAGGUGGAGCCAAGAUGGCAGAAUAGGAACAGCUCCAGUCUACAGUUCCCGGAGUGAGCGACGCAGAAGACAGCCUCCACUGCUGAUACCCAGGCAAACUCCAACAGACAUGCAGCUGAGGGUCCUGACUCUCAGAAGGAAAACUAACAAACAGAAAGGACUUCCACACUAAAACCCCAUCUGUACGUCACCAUCAUCAAAGACCAAAGGUAGAUAAAACCACAAAGAUGGGGAAAAAACAGAACAGAAAAACUGGAAACUCUAAAAAUCAGAGUGCCUCUCCUGCUCCAAAGGAAUGCAGCUCCUCACCAGCAAUGGAACAAAGCUGGACAGAGAAUGACUUUGAUGAGUUGAGAGAAGAAGGCUUCAGAUGAUCAGAUUACUCUAAGCUAAAGGAGGAAGUUUGAACCCAUGGCAAAGAAGCUAAAAACCUUGAAAAAAAAUUAGAUGAAUGGCUAACUAGAAUAACCAAUGCAGAGAAGUCCUUAAAGGACCUGAUGGAGCUGAAAACCAAGACAGAAGAACUACGUGACAAAUGCACAAGCCUCAGUAGCCAAUUUGAUCAACUGGAAGAAAGGGUAUCAGUGAUGGAACAUGAAAUGAAUGAAAUGAAGCGAGAAGAGAAGUUUAGAGAAAAAAGAAUAAAAAGAAAUGAACAAAGUCUCCAAGAAAUAUGGGACUAUGUGAAAAGACCAAAUCUACAUCUGAUUGGUGUACCUGAAAGUGACAAGGAGAAUGGAACCAAGUUGGAAAACACUCUGCAGGAUAUUAUGCAGGAGAACUUCCCCAAUCUAGCAAGGCAGGCCAACAUUCAACUUAAGGAAAUACAGAGAACGCCACAAAGACACUCCUCAAGAAGAGCAACUCCAAGACACAUAAUUGUCAGAUUCACCAAAGUUAAAA
RNAcentral lists this long non-coding RNA (1365 nucleotides) under Homo sapiens (human). RNAcentral describes it as "novel transcript". The record is from RNAcentral. Lineage: Eukaryota; Metazoa; Chordata; Mammalia; Primates; Hominidae.